RNAcentral lists this ribosomal RNA (233 nucleotides) under uncultured bacterium. RNAcentral describes it as "partial 16S ribosomal RNA". It matches the Rfam family "Bacterial small subunit ribosomal RNA", at positions 103 to 334 of the family's 1533-position model. The record is from RNAcentral.
CGGGUGAGUAACGCGUGAGGAACCUGCCUCAAAGAGGGGGACAACAGUUGGAAACGACUGCUAAUACCGCAUAAGCCCACGGCUCGGCAUCGAGCAGAGGGAAAAGGAGCAAUCCGCUUUGAGAUGGCCUCGCGUCCGAUUAGCUAGUUGGUGAGGUAAUGGCCCACCAAGGCGACGAUCGGUAGCCGGACUGAGAGGUUGAACGGCCACAUUGGGACUGAGACACGGCCCAA